Molecule: long non-coding RNA, 763 nt
Organism: Homo sapiens (human)
Lineage: Eukaryota; Metazoa; Chordata; Mammalia; Primates; Hominidae
Exons: 2
Source: RefSeq, a predicted model, not a curated record
AGCAGUCUUAGUAAGAGAAGAGUAGGAAAGAAACACGCUUAGCAGCAUGUUAGAAACUAGUUUCUCGUGCCCUCCUUGGACUCAGAAUACAAUACCAGAGAACAAUCAGAUAAGGCAGGAAAAGUUAGAAGUUUGGGGAAAUAGAGCUUCCGUAGGCAACUGUGAGGAAUCAGGAACAGGCUGGGAGCAGGCACUGCCCACCUGUCCUACCCCGAGAGCACCAGGAUAGGACUCCACACAGGAGGACCGGACCUCGAUGAUGAGCUCACCCUCGCUCUUAACAAGCACUGGCUCUCUACAGAUGUCACUUCCUUUAAGGAUGAGUAAAUAAGGGAGGAAAAACUCUAUGGGGCGGGGCGGGGUCUGGGAGGUAGUUUUUUGUAAAGCUACAGAAAAUAGGAAAGAGACUUCAUCUCAAUGAUUUAGAAGACUUUAGAAGACUCUAAAAAUAAUCUACAGGAGGACCCAAGAGAUCCAACACGCUGGACUCCUCUAUAGGAUAUCAAAAGGAACUCCGGGUGAGGACGACAAGAGCUGAGCUCGGGUGCUUGCCUUCUGCACUCUCGGGAGGAGGCACCAGCAUGGGCACCCUUCACAGUUCGGGCCCCUCACUCACAAACGUCUGGCACAUGGAAACAAGCUGGCAAAAAGAUUGUUUUUUUCUUCUGUACUUUUUGUUAUAAGCCUGUGGUGAAGUGUCCAUAUCUGGCAUAAAUGAAUGUGAGUGGUCUUGGGAAUCUAAAUAUAACAUGUUUCUAAGUUA